RNAcentral lists this ribozyme (80 nucleotides) under Crocodylus porosus (Australian saltwater crocodile). RNAcentral's name for it is "Mammalian CPEB3 ribozyme (ENSCPRG00005014325.1)". It matches the Rfam family "Mammalian CPEB3 ribozyme". Rfam says of the family: The mammalian CPEB3 ribozyme is a self cleaving RNA located in the second intron of the CPEB3 gene which belongs to a family of genes regulating messenger RNA polyadenylation. This ribozyme is highly conserved and found only in mammals. Lineage: Eukaryota; Metazoa; Chordata; Crocodylia; Crocodylidae. The record is from RNAcentral.
AGAGGCUGCAAGUUCGAGGACACAGCAGAAGUACUCACGGUGCAGCCCUGUCAGAUUCCAACGAAUCUGCAAAUUCUGCU